This is a long non-coding RNA of Etheostoma spectabile (orangethroat darter), 367 nucleotides long. RefSeq lists it as uncharacterized. NCBI's taxonomy places the organism in Eukaryota, Metazoa, Chordata, Actinopteri, Perciformes, Percidae. The record is from RefSeq and is a predicted model, not a curated record. The transcript has 3 exons.
UCUUGUAUUCCUUGAGCUGUGAUAUAAGCCUUUAAACCUAAUGUAAUGUCACAGUGACGAUUUCAACAGACUUUAAAGUUUAUUUUUGUCAGACAUACUGUAGAUUAAGAGUGAAACCUUUAAGAUUUAAAAUUGACUGAAGUGAUGGUUUACAUUCAAGCUUCAUGGAGCUGCAUACGGUAAAGGCAUCUAUCUGAGUCCUAUCUCAAGCAUAUCAUUUGGAUAUUUUGAGAUGGGCAAAGGGCGACACCAAAUGUCCACCAAAGAAGAACUCAUAAAGAAAUACAUCCAAAUAAACAAAAACAAACAGGAACAGCUGGGGCAAGCCGGGAUUGUGCAAAACAGGAAUCUAAACUGCAUUGCUCUC